This 476-nucleotide ribosomal RNA is filed under the name Daphnia magna. RNAcentral describes it as "partial 16S ribosomal RNA". It matches the Rfam family "Bacterial large subunit ribosomal RNA", at positions 1920 to 2614 of the family's 2925-position model. Lineage: Eukaryota; Metazoa; Arthropoda; Branchiopoda; Diplostraca; Daphniidae. The record is from RNAcentral.
UUUGUAAAUGGCCGCAGUAUUCUGACUGUGCUAAGGUAGCAUAAUCAUUAGUCUUUUAAUUGGAGGCUGGUAUGAAUGACGAGACGAGAAAAUGACUGUCUCUAUAAUAAACUUUGAAUUUCAUUUCUGAGUGAAAAAGCUCAGAUAAUUUUGAAGGACGAUCAGACCCUUUGGAGCUUUAUUUACUUUAAAAAUUUGAAUUUGUUUUAAUUGAUUGAAUGGAAAGUAAAUUUUGUUGGGGCGACAGGGAGUAAAAUAUAACACUCUUUUUUUAAAACAAUCCUAAUUGGAAAAUUGAUCCUUAGAGUGAGAUUACAAGAAUAAGUUACCCUAGGGAUAACAGCGUAAUCUUUUUGGAGAGUUCAAAUCGAUAAAAAGGUUUGCGACCUCGAUGUUGGAUUAAGAGAUUGGCAAGGUGCAGAAGUUUUGCUGGAAAGUCUGUUCGACUUUUAAUCUCUUACAUGAUCUGAGUUCAA